UCGGGAAUAUUGCGCAAUGGAGGAAACUCUGACGCAGUGACGCCGCGUGCAGGAAGAAGGUUUUCGGAUUGUAAACUGCUUUAGAUAGGGAAGAAAAAAAUGACAGUACCUAUAGAAUAAGCUCCGGCUAACUACGUGCC
Molecule: ribosomal RNA, 140 nt
Filed under: uncultured bacterium
Lineage: Bacteria
Description: partial 16S ribosomal RNA
Rfam family: Bacterial small subunit ribosomal RNA
Source: RNAcentral